Molecule: ribosomal RNA, 280 nt
Filed under: uncultured prokaryote
Description: partial 16S ribosomal RNA
Rfam family: Bacterial small subunit ribosomal RNA
Source: RNAcentral
UACGUAGGGGCUAGCGUUAUCCGGAAUUACUGGGCGUAAAGGGUGCGUAGGUGGUUUCUUAAGUCAGAGGUGAAAGGCUACGGCUCAACCGUAGUAAGCCUUUGAAACUGGGAAACUUGAGUGCAGGAGAGGAGAGUGGAAUUCCUAGUGUAGCGGUGAAAUGCGUAGAUAUUAGGAGGAACACCAGUUGCGAAGGCGGCUCUCUGGACUGUAACUGACACUGAGGCACGAAAGCGUCGGGAGCAAACAGGAUUAGAUACCCCGGUAGUCCCUGAGCGGG